Molecule: ribosomal RNA, 429 nt
Filed under: Actinomycetes bacterium
Lineage: Bacteria; Bacillati; Actinomycetota; Actinomycetes
Description: Actinobacteria bacterium partial 16S ribosomal RNA
Rfam family: Bacterial small subunit ribosomal RNA
Source: RNAcentral
UAGGGAAUCUUCCGCAAUGGGCGAAAGCUUGACGGAGCAACGCCGCGUGAGUGAUGAAGGUCUUCGGAUCGUAAAACUCUGUUAUUAGGGAAGAACAAAUGUGUAAGUAACUAUGCACGUCUUGACGGUACCUAAUCAGAAAGCCACGGCUAACUACGUGCCAGCAGCCGCGGUAAUACGUAGGUGGCAAGCGUUAUCCGGAAUUAUUGGGCGUAAAGCGCGCGUAGGCGGUUUUUUAAGUCUGAUGUGAAAGCCCACGGCUCAACCGUGGAGGGUCAUUGGAAACGGGAGAACUUGAGUGCAGAAGAGGAAAGUGGAAUUCCAUGUGUAGCGGUGAAAUGCGCAGAGAUAUGGAGGAACACCAGUGGCGAAGGCGACUUUCUGGUCUGUAACUGACGCUGAUGUGCGAAAGCGUGGGGAUCAAACAGG